GAUAAAGUGGCUGAAAUUUUUAGGUAAUAAAUUGUAAAUUUAUUUAUGGUGUUAUACCCUUUAUCA
This 66-nucleotide transfer RNA is filed under the name Calacta lugubris. Its description in RNAcentral is "tRNA-Tyr". The record is from RNAcentral. Lineage: Eukaryota; Metazoa; Arthropoda; Insecta; Hemiptera; Plataspidae.